Molecule: ribosomal RNA, 261 nt
Filed under: uncultured archaeon
Lineage: Archaea
Description: partial 16S ribosomal RNA
Rfam family: Archaeal small subunit ribosomal RNA
Source: RNAcentral
CAGCCGUAAACAAUGUGCGUUAGGUAUGUCGGUGACCACGUGUUACUGAUGUGCCGAAGAGAAAUCGUGAAACGCACCACCUGGGAAGUACGGUCGCAAGGCUGAAACUUAAAGGAAUUGGCGGGGGAGCACCGCAACGGGAGGAGCGUGCGGUUUAAUUGGAUUCAACGCCGAAAAACUCACCAGCAGCGACUGUUACAUGAAAGUCAGGUUGAUGACCUUACUAGAUUUUCAGAGAGGAGGUGCAUGGCGUAGUCGUGU